GGGAGUACGGUCGCAAGAUUAAAACUCAAAGAAAUUGACGGGGACCCGCACAAGCGGUGGAGUAUGUGGCUUAAUUCGAUGCAACGCGAAGAACCUUACCUGGGCUUGACAUGUAAUGAACAACAUGUGAAAGCAUGCGACUCUUCGGAGGCGUUACACAGGUGCUGCAUGGCCGUCGUCAGCUCGUGUCGUGAGAUGUUUGGUUAAGUCCAGCAACGAGCGCAACCCCUGUUGCCAGUUACCAGCACGUGAAGGUGGGGACUCUGGCGAGACUGCCCAGAUCAACUGGGAGGAAGGUGGGGACGACGUCAGGUCAGUAUGGCCCUUAUGCCCAGGGCUGCACACGUACUACAAUGCCCAGUACAGAGGGGGCCGAAGCCGCGAGGCGGAGGAAAUCCUAAAAACUGGGCCCAGUUCGGACUGUAGGCUGCAACCCGCCUACACGAAGCCGGAAUCGCUAGUAAUGGCGCAUCAGCUACGGCGCCGUGAAUACGUCCCCGGGUCUUGUACACACCGCCCGUCACAUCAUGGAAGCCGGUCGCACCCGAAGUAUCUGAAGCCAACCGCAAGGAGGCAGGGUCCUAAGGUGAGACUGGUAACUGGGAUGAAGUCGUAACAAGGUACCCG
RNAcentral lists this ribosomal RNA (627 nucleotides) under uncultured Akkermansia sp. RNAcentral's name for it is "bacterial SSU rRNA". It matches the Rfam family "Bacterial small subunit ribosomal RNA", at positions 876 to 1502 of the family's 1533-position model. Lineage: Bacteria; Pseudomonadati; Verrucomicrobiota; Verrucomicrobiia; Verrucomicrobiales; Akkermansiaceae. The record is from RNAcentral.